This 473-nucleotide ribosomal RNA is filed under the name Caliphylla viridis. Its description in RNAcentral is "Polybranchia viridis partial 16S ribosomal RNA". It matches the Rfam family "Bacterial large subunit ribosomal RNA", at positions 1798 to 2607 of the family's 2925-position model. Lineage: Eukaryota; Metazoa; Mollusca; Gastropoda; Caliphyllidae. The record is from RNAcentral.
GCCUGUUUAUCAAAAACAUAGCCCAAAGAAUUUAAAUUUUGGGUGAAGCCUGCCCAGUGCUUGUACAAUUAGUGUUAACGGCCGCAGUAUUUUGACUGUGCUAAGGUAGCAAAAUAAUUUGGCUUUUAAAUGGAGUCGGGAAUGAAUGGAUUUAUGGGGUAAAGCUGUCUCUAUUGCACUUACUUUAAUUUAUUUACUAGGUGAAAAUACCUAGGUUAAGAAAAAAGACGAGAAGACCCUAGGAGUUUUAAUAAAAAAUUAUUGAAAUAAUUUGAAUUUUUGUUGGGGCGACAAUGGAGUAUAUAUUUAACCUCCACUUUAAUAUUUGCCGACUUUGUAUGCGAAUUUAAACUACCCUAGGGAUAACAGCGUAAUUUUUUAUAAGCUUGCGACCUCGAUGUUGGACUAGGAAUUCGGUAGGCUAGCCGCCUAUUUUUAUGGUUCUGUUCGAACUAAAUUUCCUACGUGAUCUG